ACCGGGGUGGCUGAGUCUGGCCUAAAGCGCUGGACUUAUGAUCCAGUUGAGAGUUCCCGCUCUCACGCGGGUUCAAAUCCCGUCCCCGGCG
RNAcentral lists this transfer RNA (91 nucleotides) under Candidatus Woesearchaeota archaeon. Its description in RNAcentral is "tRNA-Ile". It matches the Rfam family "tRNA". From Rfam's summary of the family: Transfer RNA (tRNA) molecules are approximately 80 nucleotides in length. Their secondary structure includes four short double-helical elements and three loops (D, anti-codon, and T loops). The record is from RNAcentral. Lineage: Archaea; Nanobdellati; Candidatus Woesearchaeota.